GACGCCCAAACCAAAAAAAUACAAAACAAGCGAAUAUUUAUGGGUACAAUUAUCUAUUUGCGUAUCUUGGCUAUUAUCAUAGUCGUAGAUAUGAUCAUUCUUGGAGUCAAGGUCACUUCCAAGAUUUUAUACGCCACAGUUCAACUUAAGCGAUUUAUAUGUUCUAUCGCAUGACCGACAUCAUCGUAUCUUCCGAGCGUUUGCGAUGCAAAACUUUUAUUCAUUGCGUUUCGAUCAUAAG
This 241-nucleotide long non-coding RNA is filed under the name Capsella grandiflora. RNAcentral's name for it is "long non-coding RNA (CGRA_LNC000692)". Lineage: Eukaryota; Viridiplantae; Streptophyta; Magnoliopsida; Brassicales; Brassicaceae. The record is from RNAcentral.